Molecule: ribosomal RNA, 402 nt
Filed under: uncultured bacterium
Lineage: Bacteria
Description: bacterial SSU rRNA
Rfam family: Bacterial small subunit ribosomal RNA
Source: RNAcentral
GGAAUAUUGGACAAUGGGCGAAAGCCUGAUCCAGCAACGCCGCGUGAGGGAUGACGGCCUUCGGGUUGUAAACCUCUUUCAGCGGGGACGACGCGCAAGUGACGGUACCCGCAGAAGACGCACCUGCCAACUCCGGGCCAGCAGCCGCGGUAAUACGUAGGGUGCGAGCGUUGUCCGGAAUUAUUGGGCGUAAAGGGCUCGUAGGCGGUUUGUCACGUCGGGAGUGAAAACUCGGGGCUUAACUCCGAGCCUGCUUCCGAUACGGGCUGACUAGAGGUAUGCAGGGGAGAACGGAAUUCCUGGUGUAGCGGUGAAAUGCGCAGAUAUCAGGAGGAACACCGGUGGCGAAGGCGGUUCUCUGGGCAUUACCUGACGCUGAGGAGCGAAAGUGUGGGGAGCGAA